AGCUCAUUGGUAGAGCACCUGCCUAGCGUGCAGGAAGCCCUGGGUUCUAUCCCAG
Molecule: transfer RNA, 55 nt
Filed under: Ictidomys tridecemlineatus (thirteen-lined ground squirrel)
Lineage: Eukaryota; Metazoa; Chordata; Mammalia; Rodentia; Sciuridae
Description: Spermophilus tridecemlineatus (thirteen-lined ground squirrel) tRNA
Rfam family: tRNA
About the family: Transfer RNA (tRNA) molecules are approximately 80 nucleotides in length. Their secondary structure includes four short double-helical elements and three loops (D, anti-codon, and T loops). Further hydrogen bonds mediate the characteristic L-shaped molecular structure. tRNAs have two regions of fundamental functional importance: the anti-codon, which is responsible for specific mRNA codon recognition, and the 3' end, to which the tRNAs corresponding amino acid is attached (by aminoacyl-tRNA synthetases). tRNAs cope with the degeneracy of the genetic code in two manners: having more than one tRNA (with a specific anti-codon) for a particular amino acid; and 'wobble' base-pairing, i.e. permitting non-standard base-pairing at the 3rd anti-codon position.
Source: Rfam by way of RNAcentral